UCCACAGCUGAGGACACAAAGUAAUAAUUGUCACUCAGCAAAAUUAUCGCACAAAAGAACAGCAAGUCAUUCAUUUCCACAUGAAAAAGCACAAAAAUAGGAUUUCUGAAAGACUGAUUGGAAGAUUAAAGAUCAGAAGGUUAGCAUUAAAGUUUGUGCCUAAAGGAUGCUACCCUCAUGGAAAUCAACACAAAGAAAUUGUUAAAUAAUCACACAUUUCAGAUUGGUUCCCAUGUGGAAGACAUUUCCAAGGUGUCAGUGCCUGGAAAACCUGAUGGUUUCGCUGAAUACUGAAGUGAAACUUGAAAGCAAAACCCAAGGACAGAUUAACACUUGGAAGUAUAAAAUUCAGGUAGUAAUGAGAAGCCAGGUGUGCACUUUCAAGGAUUCCAAGUUUCCGUAAUUAUGGAUUCACUAGCACUCUCUCCAAAAACAGAAUAUCACCCCUUUGGAGGUUUAAUGAAAUCAUAACUUUUUAAAUGAAAGAACAAAGAAACGAGAAGACUGCGGGAAACAGAUUUACAGAGAGCGAGUCCCUUUUCUCAUCAAUCAAGCUAUAUACAGAAUGUAGUCACCACUUCUUGUGGUGCCAAGGUGUUCCUAUAAGGUCUCCUAUCCAAAUACUGUCCCAGCCUGGCUUGCUACGUAUGAGUUUUGAUGAGAUCACACAGCAUAAGGUGGUGCAGUAGCAAAGACUUUGCAAUUUUUUUUGAGAGGGGAUUAUAAAGCAUCUUGAUGUGCAGUAUGUGAAAGGUGCUAUAUAUAAGCAGUUUGUCUUCCUACUGCUGUGACUCAUUUCUCACUCAUCUGUAAAGCCAGUGAUGAUUGUAGGUGAAGGCUGAAUUACUCUGCUACUGCUGGUUCCAAUACACCUUUUCAUGGAUUCAUAGAUUCCAGGGCCAGAAGAGACCAUCAUGAUCAUAUAAUCUGUCCUACUGCAACAUAACACAGGUCAUAGAACGGCUGAAAAUAAUUCCUAGAACAUAUAGUUUAGAAAGAAACAUCCAAUCAUGAUUUUAAAAGUGUUUGUGCGGGAGAAUCCACCAUGAGCCUUGGUAAAUUGUUCCACUGGUUAAUUACUCUGUUAAAAAAUUAUGCUAUAUUUCCAGUCUGAAUUUGUCUAGCUUCAACCUCCAGCCAUUGCAAUGUGUAAUACAUUUCUCUGCUACAUUAAGGAACCCAUCUUUAAAUAUUUGGAGCUCAAUAUUUAGUUUCCAGCUAUCUGAUGAGUUCUGUGAAUGGUCUGAAGAGACACUCAUUAAAACACCAAUCAAAGACAGUAUCCUUGUAAUUGGAGGCAUGAAUGUGAACAUUGGAACUGCAAGCAUGCAUAAAGAAUUAACGGGAAACAAAGGUCUCGGUUUACAAAUGAGAGAAGAAGGUGUUUAAUAGAAUUCUGCUACUUCAAUAAUCUGGUCAUCACAAGUACCAUCUUCAUCCAGCAUCCUAACUGUUUAAAUUCACUGAGGUCACCUGAUGGCAUGACAAAGAAGAAAAUCAACUAUGUCAUGAUACAAUGAUGCUGGAGCUUAAGUGUCCCAUGGACAAAGACUUUCCCAAGUAAGGAUUGUAGAUCAGACCAACUGUUAGCCUCCAACAUCAAAUUAAAUUUAAAAAGAUACUAUGUUCAACAGGUCCAUUGCAGCUGGACCUGUGCAAAAUCAACAAAAACAACAUGACUUCUGUAAAGAAUGGGCUUGAGUCAUUGUCACAGGUGAAAGAGGAGAACAACCCAAACAAAUCUGGGAAUAAAAUGAAAGCUAUCAUGCUCGAAACCA
This is a long non-coding RNA of Chrysemys picta bellii (western painted turtle), 1778 nucleotides long. The record is from Ensembl. NCBI's taxonomy places the organism in Eukaryota, Metazoa, Chordata, Testudines, Emydidae.